UACGUAGGUGGCAAGCGUUACUCGGAAUCACUAGGCGUAAAGCGCAGGUAGGCGGUUCGGUAAGUCUCUUGUGAAAGCUCCUGGCUCAACUGGGAGAGGUCAAGGGAAACUACCGGGCUAGAGUGUGGUAGGGGAUACUGGAAUUCCCGGUGUAGCGGUGAAAUGCGUAGAUAUCGGGAGGAAUACCUAUGGCGAAAGCAGGUGUCUGGGCCAUCACUGACGCUGAGCUGCGAAGGCUAGGGGAGCAAACAGG
Molecule: ribosomal RNA, 253 nt
Filed under: uncultured bacterium
Lineage: Bacteria
Description: partial 16S ribosomal RNA
Rfam family: Bacterial small subunit ribosomal RNA
Source: RNAcentral